CCUACGGGUGGCAGCAGUGAGGAAUAUUGGUCAAUGGGCGCGAGCCUGAACCAGCCAAGUAGCGUGAAGGAUGAAUGCCCUACGGGUUGUAAACUUCUUUUAUAAAGGAGUAAAGUGAGGCACGUGUGUCUUUUUGUAUGUACCUUAUGAAUAAGGAUCGGCUAACUCCGUGCCAGCAGCCGCGGUAAUACGGAGGAUCCGAGCGUUAUCCGGAUUUAUUGGGUUUAAAGGGAGCGUAGAUGGGUUGUUAAGUCAGUUGUGAAAGUUUGCGGCUCAACCGUAAAAUUGCAAUUGAUACUGGCGGUCUUGAGUACAGUUGAGGUAGGCGGAAUUCGUGGUGUAGCGGUGAAAUGCUUAGAUAUCACGAAGAACUCCGAUUGCGAAGGCAGCUUACUAGACUGCCACUGACGGUGAUGCUCGAAAGUGUGGGUAUCAAACAGGAUUAGAUACCCUUGUAGUC
RNAcentral lists this ribosomal RNA (460 nucleotides) under uncultured bacterium. Its description in RNAcentral is "partial 16S ribosomal RNA". It matches the Rfam family "Bacterial small subunit ribosomal RNA", at positions 338 to 795 of the family's 1533-position model. The record is from RNAcentral.